Long non-coding RNA from Microcebus murinus (gray mouse lemur), 619 nucleotides. RefSeq lists it as uncharacterized. The record is from RefSeq and is a predicted model, not a curated record. NCBI's taxonomy places the organism in Eukaryota, Metazoa, Chordata, Mammalia, Primates, Cheirogaleidae.
GCCUACUAGAGCAAGGCAGACUUUCCCAGUCCAGCAAAGGUGUUGCUUCUGGAGAUAAGGUGCUAGAGAAGACUCCAGAAGCCAAUGGGUAAGGAGUCCUGAGGUCUUUGUGGAGCUCCCAGUGAAAAAUACUUACUAGAAUAACAAUUUCAAAUGCUGAUGAGACAUGGAGCCACUGGAACUCUCAUUCACUGUUGGAAGGAGUUAAAUUGGUACAACCAUUUGGGAAAACUGAACAUUUGUCUAUCCUAUGACCCAGCAAUUUUGCUUCUAGGUUGCCCAGACCAUCGGCAUAAGUAUCACCUGUUGCAGUUGUUCGAGAUGCAGACUCCCGAACCACGCCCUGUACCUACCGAAUUGGAAGAUCUGAAAGUGGGAUCUGAGAAGCUGGAUGUUAACAUGUUUGGAAGCUAUUGAGUGCUGAGACUAUGCCCGAGUGUUCCCUGUUGUAUUCCCUGCAUCUAGCAGAAUGUCUGGCACAUAGAGGUGCUCAAUAAAUACAGAAUGAUUACAUGGGCAAAAGAUGAAUCAAUAACAUGUUGCUCCGUGACUCUUACAAAUGGGGUGGGAUGGGAGUUCUGAUUUACGCCCCUCCUUACAUACCCCUUAGGCUGCAAGU